CCUACGGGAGGCAGCAGUGGGGGAUAUUGCACAAUGGGGGAAACCCUGAUGCAGCGACGCCGCGUGUGGGAAGACGGUCCUCUGGAUUGUAAACCACUGUCCCCAGGGACGAAGAUGACGUAACCUGGGGAGGAAGCUCCGGCUAACUACGUGCCAGCAGCCGCGGUAAUACGAGGGGAGCGAGCGUUGUCCGGAAAUACUGGGGGAAAGGGGAGCGUGGGGGGGGGUGCAAGUUGGGUGUCAAAACUACCGGCUCAACUGGUAGUCGCACUCAAAACUGCAGGUCUUGAGUGAAGUAGAGGCAGGCGGAAUUCCUAGUGUAGCGGUGAAAUGCGUAGAUAUUAGGAGGAACACCAGUGGCGAAGGCGGCCUGCUGGGCUUUUACUGACGCUGAGGCUCGAAAGUGUGGGGAGCAAACAGGAUUAGAUACACCAGUAGUC
This 440-nucleotide ribosomal RNA is filed under the name uncultured bacterium. Its description in RNAcentral is "partial 16S ribosomal RNA". It matches the Rfam family "Bacterial small subunit ribosomal RNA", at positions 338 to 795 of the family's 1533-position model. The record is from RNAcentral.